This is a microRNA precursor of Microtus ochrogaster (prairie vole), 105 nucleotides long. Lineage: Eukaryota; Metazoa; Chordata; Mammalia; Rodentia; Cricetidae. The record is from Ensembl.
GGUGUGGCCUUGUUUGAGGAAAUGUGUCACUGGGGAUGGGCUUUGAGGUUUCAGAUGCUCAGGCCAGGCCCAGUGUCACUCUCUUUUCCUAUGCCUGCUGAUCCU